UUUUCAAACUUUUUUUCCUCUCUCGCUCUCGCUCUCCUCUCCUCCUCAAAUAUCUGCCAGCCCACUCCUUUUUAAGAGAAAAUAAAUCAUUUCCAUUGUGUGCAAAUAAAAUCGACUUGACAUGCUUGCCAAUAGCUGGAAUAAAAGCAACAGCCACCAAAAUUUCAACAAGACUACACAAGUAAAUGCCAAACAGCAAACCGUCUGCACGGACUCAUUAAACAAGAAUCCCUCGCGAAGGUAACGAGCAGGAGAGCAGGACAGAAUCGCUCUUCUUCGGCUCAAGAGAGGAAAGGAGCCCGCAGCAGGCAAAUCACAAACUCCGCACCGUUUCAAGCUGCAGCCCCGCCGCCUGCCCGAUCCUACGCGUGUGCAUCCUAACUCCGAGCCCCUCGCUGGGAAUCGUUUUCUGCGUGUGUUGAGCGCAGUGAAUAAGCUCUCAUAGCUCAGAAAUGCUUUGGAGGGCGCAAAGGGGAGGAGAUGUCUUGGGGCUGAUUUUUUUACAAGGUUCUACAUAAAAAAGUUUACAGUACUGAGUGAGAUUUAAAUCUCAUUUCAAAGGCUGAGGGGAGAGAAAAAAAAAAAUGAAAAAGAAAAGCAAAUGAAAAAGCUGUCCUCUGAAGUUGCUAAUUAAAUUACCCUCUGAUGCUUCUACUUCAGCCAGAAAGAUCGGGGUUCGUGCUGUUCCCCCCGCUCCGUCCCCCGCUUUUCCCGUCGGUGCGCUGCCUGUUCUAUACGAGUACCGGCUAUCGCCUCUGCUUCCUUGGCUUACAAGUAAAACAACCCUUUCCUGAAAUCACCCUCACCUCCACAAGAAAAGAGAGAGGGAAGGGAAAAUGCGGAGGGAGAGCCUUCCCACAGCUGACUCUACCUUAAGACAAUUAAUCUUUAGUCUUUCACCCUGGGAGGCAGGAUAAAUACAACGAGAAAACAGAUAGGAGUCUCCCCGGUCCUGUAAGGAAAACAGCUGUUCCAAGCACUUUAAUGCAAAUGAACACAAAUGAAGGUUUCAGCUUUUUUUUUUUUUUUUUCUUCCAGAGUUUUACUGCACUCCAUUUAUCAAUUGGACUUGACAACAAAAGAAAGAACUGGGGGAAAACCUGGGGCAGAUUCAAGUCACUUCCACUCUAGAUAAAGGAGGGGGGACAGGGGGAAGUUCCUUGAGGGCAAGUUGUGGGUCUUGUCAGUCCUAUUGCAAUAUCGUGGGUUUUAUGCAAGAUUUCUUUCUCUACCUCCUCUCCCCUGCCUUUUAAUUUUGAUGGUCCUGCAAGAUGACAGCGGUGGUUGCAAAAUGAAAGUACAUUUAUGAUUCUCCACUGAGAAGUUGUGCCAAUAAACCUUAUCUUUCAGAGAAAAGAUAGAAAUUUAAAAGUUUGUUAAAAUUAAUCGCAUCUUUAUUAAAGCUAUAGGAGUUCCGUGUAUUUAUCCUACUCUAUACACUGUAGUAAAAGAGUAAAGUGGUUUAAAUAAAAUACAGCAGAUAUACUUACUGCGCUGCAAGAUUUAAAGGGUACCUCUUGGAGGGGAAAGGGGGGGGGGGGAUACCGAAGAAAACCUGCUUUACAUAUACCUCGUAAGAGCAGGUCAUUAAAGACUAUCUGACGCAUCUGUUUAGGGACUGGGGCAGAUCGGUGUUUCAAGGGAAGAAAAAGGACUGGGUUCAGCAAAUCUAAACGUGAGAAAGUGAAAGUCCUUCCUCUCGUCCAACCCUUCCAGGAUCAGCGCCUGUUCUGGUUGGAGUCCAGGUCAGGAAUUGGACGCGACCCCUAAAGCACUUGCCUUGUUCUUCACUUGUCAAACGUGUUUUAUCUCUAAGUGACCUUUUUGUUAAUGUUGUAGAUUGUGUGGGCCACCAUGUCAGAUCCGGAAACAAAAGUAAAAGAUUGAUUAACACA
Haemorhous mexicanus (house finch) is the source of this 1895-nucleotide long non-coding RNA. RefSeq lists it as uncharacterized. NCBI's taxonomy places the organism in Eukaryota, Metazoa, Chordata, Aves, Passeriformes, Fringillidae. The transcript is spliced from 2 exons. The record is from RefSeq and is a predicted model, not a curated record.